AUUGCCUCUUGGCCAUUUAGCUAAGAUCAAGUGUAGUAUCUGUUCUUAUCAGUUUGAUAUCUUACAUGUCCUCUAUUUGAGAAUAUUAUAUUAAGUGGAUUUUUGGAGCUGAGAGGUGGAAUAGGAGUUUGCUCUACCCACUAUGCGCAUUGACCUGGUAUUGCAGUACUUCCAGAAAUGGUGCACCAAAA
Molecule: small nuclear RNA, 191 nt
Organism: Pteronotus mesoamericanus
Lineage: Eukaryota; Metazoa; Chordata; Mammalia; Chiroptera; Mormoopidae
Product: U2 spliceosomal RNA
Exons: 1
Source: RefSeq, a predicted model, not a curated record